AUUGCUGGAGCGCUGAAUUCUUCCUCGGCAGGCCGAGGGGGAAGCGGGGGACCCGUCUCGUGGGGUGAAUCCCGGCCUUCUACGGCCGGGUAGGGUCAAGCUUUCGACCCGAACCCGUCAGCUAACCUCGUAAGCGUGGAAAGCACCG
RNAcentral lists this small RNA (148 nucleotides) under Ammonifex degensii. RNAcentral's name for it is "c-di-AMP sequence". It matches the Rfam family "c-di-AMP riboswitch aptamer (ydaO/yuaA leader)". From Rfam's summary of the family: This family represents a conserved RNA structure found upstream of the ydaO and yuaA genes in Bacillus subtilis and related genes in other bacteria. The record is from RNAcentral. Lineage: Bacteria; Bacillati; Bacillota; Clostridia; Thermoanaerobacterales; Thermoanaerobacteraceae.